AAUUCGUGUUGUUUAUUGCAUCGUUAUCAGGGGUGGAGGAUUUGGGGAGGGUGAAGGGGUGAUGGCAGGGGCAGAAGAGACCAGGCUCAAUGAUGGCUGCAAUGCAGCAACUAAUUUUUUUCUCCUUUUCCUUUUUUUCUUGUUGUUUUUGCUUUAAGUAGGCCUGUCGUUGUGUGACAUUGUAAAAGGGAUAGUAAACUGGAUCCCAGCUUUUAUGUGUGGACCAGUGACUAUGUUUACCCUAUGUUUGUGUGCAGGCAGGCUACCAAAUUACCCAGCAGAGGCUCCCAAUUGCUGUGAAUGGGAGCUUGAUAUAUGGCGUCUGUGCAGGGAAGAAGCAGAGUCAGGUGAUCCCCAAGACGGUGAGGAUCAAGCAGAUCCAGUUGGAGCAAGACAGUGGCAAAAGCCUCCACGACAACCUGAGGUCUCAGACGCUCAUUGAUUUGAACAGGGCAGGAGUGGGCCUUCUGGAGGUGGUCCUGGAGCCCGACAUGUCCUGUGGAGAAGAGGCGGCAACAGCUGUCAGGGAGCUGCAGCUGAUCCUUCAAGCCCUGGGGACCAGCCAGGCGAACAUGGCAGAGGGCCAGUUGAGAGUGGAUGCCAAUAUAUCCGUGCAUCACCCUGGGGAGCCUUUGGGCGUUCGAACGGAAGUGAAGAAUCUCAACAGCAUCAGGUUCCUGGCCAAAGCCAUAGACUAUGAAAUUCAGAGGCAAAUCAAUGAACUUGAGAAUGG
This 733-nucleotide small RNA is filed under the name Pan troglodytes (chimpanzee). RNAcentral's name for it is "retained intron". The record is from RNAcentral. Lineage: Eukaryota; Metazoa; Chordata; Mammalia; Primates; Hominidae.